Molecule: unclassified non-coding RNA, 219 nt
Filed under: Hevea brasiliensis (rubber tree)
Lineage: Eukaryota; Viridiplantae; Streptophyta; Magnoliopsida; Malpighiales; Euphorbiaceae
Source: RNAcentral
GGUUGAGGCAAGUUUGCUUUAGGAGGUCCAUCACCAAUUCCCUUAGGAAAGGAAAGUACACUUGCCCAAUACCCCACAUAACGGCGUUGGCUUGGUAUGGAGACUCCUUCAUUGUUUGUCGUCCGUUUAUUUGCAUACAAUUGAAGAGCCUCCUCUGCUGUCAUGCCACUGUAAACAAGGUAGGCACACACCAUUAAGCCUGUUCUACCUUUACCUGCC